This 492-nucleotide ribosomal RNA is filed under the name uncultured bacterium. RNAcentral's name for it is "partial 16S ribosomal RNA". It matches the Rfam family "Bacterial small subunit ribosomal RNA", at positions 29 to 507 of the family's 1533-position model. The record is from RNAcentral.
AGUGAACGCUGGCGGUAGGCCUAACACAUGCAAGUCGAACGGCAGCACAGUAAGAGCUUGCUCUUACGGGUGGCGAGUGGCGGACGGGUGAGGAAUACAUCGGAAUCUACUUUUUCGUGGGGGAUAACGUAGGGAAACUUACGCUAAUACCGCAUACGACCUACGGGUGAAAGCAGGGGAUCUUCGGACCUUGCGCGACUGAAUGAGCCGAUGUCGGAUUAGCUAGUUGGCGGGGUAAAGGCCCACCAAGGCGACGAUCCGUAGCUGGUCUGAGAGGAUGAUCAGCCACACUGGAACUGAGACACGGUCCAGACUCCUACGGGAGGCAGCAGUGGGGAAUAUUGGACAAUGGGCGCAGGCCUGAUCCAGCCAUACCGCGUGGGUGAAGAAGGCCUUCGGGUUGUAAAGCCCUUUUGUUGGGAAAGAAAAGCAGCAGGUUAAUACCCCGCUGUUCUGACGGUACCCAAAGAAUAAGCACCGGCUAACUUCGUG